CCAAUAGCGUAUAUUAAAGUUGUUGCAGUUAAAAAGCUCGUAGUUGAAUUUCGGGAUUGACGUGAUGGUCAUGCCUUAAGGGGUAUGAACUGUCACAGUUGAUUUCUCACCUUCUGGAGAAACUUGAUGUCCUUUAUUGGGUGUCUUGCGGAUCCAGGACCUUUACCUUGAAAAAAUUAGAGUGUUUAAAGCAGGCAUUUUUGCUCGAAUACAUUAGCAUGGAAUAAUAGAAUAGGACGGCAUGGUUCUAUUUUGUUGGUUUCUAGGAUCACCGUAAUGAUUAAUAGGGAUAGUUGGGGGCAUUAGUAUUCAAUUGUCAGAGGUGAAAUUCUUGGAUUUAUUGAAGACUAACUACUGCGAAAGCAUUUGCCAAGGAUGUUUUCAUUAAUCAAGAACGAAAGUUAGGGGAUCGAAGACGAUCAGAUACCGUCGUAGUCUUAACCAUAAACUAUGCCGACUAGGAAUCAGACGAUGUUAAUUUUUUAAUGACUCGUUUGGCACCUUACG
Molecule: small RNA, 507 nt
Filed under: uncultured Glomeromycotina
Lineage: Eukaryota; Fungi; Glomeromycota
Description: SSU rRNA
Rfam family: Eukaryotic small subunit ribosomal RNA
Source: RNAcentral